UGGGGUGUGGCUCAGUGGUAGAGUGGUCGCCUAGCAAGUAUAAGGCACUGGGUUCGAUCCUCAGCAUCACAU
This 72-nucleotide transfer RNA is filed under the name Urocitellus parryii (Arctic ground squirrel). RNAcentral's name for it is "Spermophilus parryii (Arctic ground squirrel) tRNA". It matches the Rfam family "tRNA". From Rfam's summary of the family: Transfer RNA (tRNA) molecules are approximately 80 nucleotides in length. Lineage: Eukaryota; Metazoa; Chordata; Mammalia; Rodentia; Sciuridae. RNAcentral also lists the same sequence under 1 other name. The record is from Rfam by way of RNAcentral.